CAACUUUCAGCAACGGAUCUCUUGGCUCUCGCAUCGAUGAAGAACGCAGCGAAAUGCGAUAAGUAAUGUGAAUUGCAGAAUUCAGUGAAUCAUCGAAUCUUUGAACGCACCUUGCGCUCCUUGGUAUUCCGAGGAGCAUGCCUGUUUGAGUGUCA
Molecule: ribosomal RNA, 155 nt
Filed under: Ganoderma lucidum
Lineage: Eukaryota; Fungi; Basidiomycota; Agaricomycetes; Polyporales; Polyporaceae
Also listed under: 3 other names
Description: 5.8S ribosomal RNA
Rfam family: 5.8S ribosomal RNA
About the family: 5.8S ribosomal RNA (5.8S rRNA) is a component of the large subunit of the eukaryotic ribosome. It is transcribed by RNA polymerase I as part of the 45S precursor that also contains 18S and 28S rRNA.
Source: RNAcentral